AUACUUCUAUAAAUCUACACACUCAUCCCUUCUAAAUCCUCCAUCAGUGGUGCAUCUCAGCUUUGGUUGUUCCUCUGAGUUAUCGGAAGCUUUCACCGCUACCGCGACUGCUCGCGUCGCACGAUCUCUCUCUAUCAUCCAUUGCGUCGCAGGAGCCCCCUCCUUGUGAUUCUGUAGCUUAGGAUUCAAUUUUUCUGUGCCAAUUUUAGAUUUAUCAAUUUUUCUUCGCAGUUUCUAUCUUCUUGUUGUUGUUGAUGCUGAUUGAGCUUCUUGUUUCUGUUGCAGUUUCUAUCACAUGCUGGUAUCUCGAAACAGAUGGUUAGUGCAGUGAAAUGUGGAAGGAUUCAAGUUGAUGGUGAGAGGGUACCAGUUUCAUACAUAGUUAAAUCAUCACAGAAGAUUAGCCAUUUCGUACACAGGGUUGUCUUUGCACUGAAAGCUUUGCAUUUUUACUUUUGUGGUUUAGAAGUGAUUGAGCUUGAAACUGAUGCCGCAAAGAUUUUAGGCAUAAACCGCCUGUGAUGGCUUGUGAGGUUCUGAUUCUCCAAAAAGAACUAGACGUGCUGACUGUUUGUAAACCUGCAUCUGUCCCUAGGAUCACAUUUGAACUGGUUGUGGUUCUGUGUCUGUUAUAGUGUAUGGGGAUCCUGAGAAACCAGCUCUGAUCACUUAUCCAGACCUAGCACUAAAUUAUAUGUCAUGUUUCCAAGGAUUAUUUUUCUGUCCAGAGGCAGCUUCUUUGCUGCUUCACAACUUCUGCAUAUAUCAUAUCAGUCCUCCUGGACACGAAGUCUGUAAGAGAUUGAUUUCAAUACAUUUUCUUUUCUAUUUAGAAAGUAAACUUUAUAAUUCACAUAGUUUCUCCUCUUAGAACUUCCACAAGAGUUGUUGCAGUUGGGAGUUAGUGCAAUUUGUCCUAAUGACCCUAUACCUUCUGUUGAAGACUUAGCAGAUCAAAUAGUUGAGAUUCUCAACUAUUUUGGGUAAAUUACAUUAUAAUCACACUGUUGAUAACUUAGUUUUAAGGAUGGUUAGGUUUCACUGUGUAGAAUAUACCAUUACACCUUAUAGUUAAAGUGAUGUACAUAAAGAAUUAUUGAUUGUACUUUACUGUAUUUAUUACCAUGAAGUUAUGAAAUAUAAUUAAUCUGAUUUUGUGAAUUGAAGUUUUCUGCUUUGUACUUGCAUGUUAGUCUUUUCUAUUUUCUGAACUGCAGAGUUAUUAGCCAACUAUCAUUACUUAUGUAUAUCUAAAAAGUGUAGCAAUUUUUAAACAAUGCAAGAAGAUUGCUAUCUUUGACAAUAAAGAUUAAUGAAGUUUAAAUUCUAAGCCAUUCAACUAACAAUGCGAUGCAUAUCAUAUAUAGAUACUAAUUAGAUCUUAGUAAUUUUCAUUGAAUAAUUUUUUAAUAUGUGUUGCAAUAAUCAGAGCUGGUACCAGGAGGUAUCAAAGCUAAAGGCAAAGUAUGAGUCUCUACAAAGGACUCAGAGGCACUUGCUUGGGGAAGAUCUUGGACCAUUGAGCAUAAAGGAGCUGCAGAAUCUUGAGAAACAGCUUGAAGGUUCUUUAGCACAGGCUUGGCAGAGGAAGGUCAGUGUAAACACCUAUCUAUUAUCUUUCAUUUGCUUCUUUCUUUUUGUUCAAAUUUGUUCUUUGAUUGCUUUCCUUUAUCUUUUUUUUAUAUAUAAUUAUUUGGUUACUUUUCUUUGAUUGUAUAUAUAACAUGCCUGAUAAUAAAGGAUCUAAAAUUAAAUCAGUGGGUUAAUUAGGGUACAACCUAUUUUAACUUGAUUCAACAAAGUUUUGAUUGUUAAAUUAAACAUCAUAUAAAGUUGAAAAGUGAAAAUAAGGGAAAGACAUAAAAGUAAAGAGGAGGGGGAAAUGCUUACUUACUUGGUAAUGAAAUAUCAUGCAAAAAAUUUAAACUGCUUUUUUUUAAAUUUCUUCUCAUAGCACUAAGUUGAUCAAAACAAGCAAUAAAUUGUUAGAAAAAUAAUUGAAAAAUUUCUAGCAGUUCAGAAAAUAGAAAAGUAUCCCGUUUAGUUUCAGUUGACAAUCAUGUAACCUAUAUUAAAAGACAGGGAUGCUUGUAUAACGUAAUUGUCAACUGUUGGCUCGAAAGUGUAAGUACAUUUUCAAAAUUUUGGUGAGGCUUGCUUCCGUAGCAAAGGGGAAGAAAUGAAACAAACAUGAACAAUCAAAGUCUCAGGCAAGUUCUCAAGUUCUACUCAUAUCAUCUGUUGAUUUUAUCUGUAAAUAAGUAAACGAUGUUCUGUUGGUUAAGAUUGUGAUACUCUUCUCUUCACUUGACUAACUUUUUACUUUUUAGCUAGUUGUGAAUGCCAAUAUAGACUAUAAUGCUCGGGAAGGGAGGAGCAUAGCGGAAUACAGGAGUAUACUUUCUAAUUAUUAAGAAGCACCACCAGUUAUUAAGGAGACUCCUGUUCUAGUUCAAGAUUCUGCAAAGAUUAAAGAAGCACCACCAGGUUCUUUCUCUUUUUCUCCUAUUAAAUUUGCAACCCCAAAUCGAAAGUUAUUGGAACUAGAUCAGAUAUUGAGGUGAGCUUCACUUGUGACUUUGUUACUUGAGAUGAAUACACUAUAUAUAGAUUAUGUUGUCACUAUUUUUUUUUAUUUUUGUCAGAAUUUGAUACUCGAAAAACAGAUGAAAAAUGGAAAAAUAUAAGGAGGCAGAGAAGCCUGAGGCAGAGGAUCAAUUCAUGACCCCACUGUUUGAAUCAAUGGACACAAUAAUGAUAAAUGGUUUCUAUACAGAUGAAGUUCCAAUUUUAGAACCUAAUUAAGCAACUUUAUUGUAUAUUGACUUAAUUAGAGGACAAUAGUAUAUAGUUGAUGUAUCAAUGCACUUUGUUGAUGUAUGGUUGUUACUUGUUAUUAUAAUUGAUGUAUCAACACUUUGUUUAUAUUUUGAAAUAUAUUGACUUGUU
Long non-coding RNA from Arachis duranensis, 2949 nucleotides. RefSeq lists it as uncharacterized. Lineage: Eukaryota; Viridiplantae; Streptophyta; Magnoliopsida; Fabales; Fabaceae. The transcript is spliced from 6 exons. The record is from RefSeq and is a predicted model, not a curated record.